GACGAACGCUGGCGGCGUGCUUAACACAUGCAAGUCGAACGAAGUGGCGAACGGGUGAGUAACGCGUAAUCAACCUGCCCUUCAGAGGGGGACAACAGUUGGAAACGACUGCUAAUACCGCAUACUGAAGGGGGGGAUUGCGUCUGAUUUGCUAGUUGGGGGGGUAACGGCCCACCAAGGCGAUGAGCAGUAGGCGGUCUGAGAGGGUGAACGGCCACAUUGGGACUGAGACACGGCCCAGACUCCUACGGGAGGCAGCAGGGGGGAAUCUUCCGCAAUGGACGAAAGUCUGACGGAGCAACGCCGCGUGAGUGAUGACGGCCUUCGGGUUGUAAAGCUCUGUUAAUCGGGACGCGGUACCGGAAGAGAAAGCCACGGCUAACUACGUGCCAGCAGCCGCGGUAAUUC
Molecule: ribosomal RNA, 408 nt
Filed under: uncultured bacterium
Lineage: Bacteria
Description: partial 16S ribosomal RNA
Rfam family: Bacterial small subunit ribosomal RNA
Source: RNAcentral